AUUGUGUGAAUACAUAGCACAUUCGAGGUAGACGCAGAGAACUGAAACAUCUAAGUACCUGCAGGAAGAGAAAGAAAAUUCGAUUCCCUGAGUAGCGGCGAGCGAAACGGGAAAAGCCCAAACCAGCAAGCUUGCUUGUUGGGGUUGUAGGACUCCAAUAUGGUAGUUCUUUCAGAUAGUCGAAUGACUUGGAAAAGUCAGUCAAAGAGGGUAAAAACCCCGUAGACGAAAUGUGGAAGACACCUAGGAGGAUCCUGAGUACGGCGGAACACGAGAAAUUCCGUCGGAAUCCGGGAGGACCAUCUCCCAAGGCUAAAUACUCCCUAGUGACCGAUAGUGAACCAGUACCGUGAGGGAAAGGUGAAAAGCACCCCGGAAGGGGAGUGAAAUAGAACCUGAAACCGUGUGCCUACAACAAGUCAAAGCCCGUUAAUGGGUGAUGGCGUGCCUUUUGUAGAAUGAACCGGCGAGUUACGAUUGCAUGCGAGGUUAAGUUGAAGAGACGGAGCCGCAGCGAAAGCGAGUCUGAAUAGGGCGUUUGAGUAUGUAGUCGUAGACCCGAAACCAUGUGAUCUACCCAUGUCCAGGUUGAAGGUGCGGUAAAACGCACUGGAGGACCGAACCCACGUACGUUGAAAAGUGCGGGGAUGAGGUGUGGGUAGCGGAGAAAUUCCAAACGAACUUGGAGAUAGCUGGUUCUCUCCGAAAUAGCUUUAGGGCUAGCCUCGGAAUUGAGAAUGAUGGAGGUAGAGCACUGUUUGGACUAGGGGCCCAUCUCGGGUUACCGAAUUCAGAUAAACUCCGAAUGCCAUUCAUUCAUAUCCGGGAGUCAGACUGUGAGUGAUAAGAUCCAUAGUCGAAAGGGAAACAGCCCAGACCACCAGCUAAGGUCCCAAAAUAUAUGUUAAGUGGAAAAGGAUGUGGGGUUGCACAGACAACUAGGAUGUUGGCUUAGAAGCAGCCACC
RNAcentral lists this ribosomal RNA (966 nucleotides) under Enterococcus faecium. RNAcentral describes it as "partial 23S ribosomal RNA". It matches the Rfam family "Bacterial large subunit ribosomal RNA", at positions 153 to 1120 of the family's 2925-position model. The record is from RNAcentral. Lineage: Bacteria; Bacillati; Bacillota; Bacilli; Lactobacillales; Enterococcaceae.